UUGGAGGGCAAGUCUGGUGCCAGCAGCCGCGGUAAUUCCAGCUCCAAUAGCGUAUAUUAAAGUUGUUGCAGUUAAAAAGCUCGUAGUUGAAUUUCGAGACCGGUCUACUGGUCGUGCUUUUGUACGUACUGGUUUUAUUGGUUUCUCCUUUCUGACGAACUAUAAUGCCAUUAAUUUGGUGUUAUGGGGAAUCAGGACUGUUACUUUGAAAAAAUUAGAGUGUUUAAAGCAGGC
Molecule: ribosomal RNA, 234 nt
Filed under: uncultured Glomus
Lineage: Eukaryota; Fungi; Glomeromycota; Glomeromycetes; Glomerales; Glomeraceae
Description: partial 18S ribosomal RNA
Rfam family: Eukaryotic small subunit ribosomal RNA
Source: RNAcentral